UACGAAGGGGGCAAGCGUUGUUCGGAAUUACUGGGCGUAAAGAGCUCGUAGGCGGUCUGUCACGUCGGUCGUGAAAACUUGGGGCUUAACCCUGAGCUUGCGGUCGAUACGGGCAUGACUUGAGUUCGGCAGGGGAGACUGGAAUUCCUGGUGUAGCGGUGAAAUGCGCAGAUAUCAGGAGGAACACCGGUGGCGAAGGCGGGUCUCUGGGCCGAUACUGACGCUGAGGAGCGAAAGCGUGGGGAGCGAACAGG
RNAcentral lists this ribosomal RNA (254 nucleotides) under uncultured bacterium. RNAcentral's name for it is "partial 16S ribosomal RNA". It matches the Rfam family "Bacterial small subunit ribosomal RNA", at positions 524 to 776 of the family's 1533-position model. The record is from RNAcentral.